RNAcentral lists this unclassified non-coding RNA (281 nucleotides) under plant metagenome. Its description in RNAcentral is "partial contains small subunit ribosomal RNA, internal transcribed spacer 1, and 5.8S ribosomal RNA". The record is from RNAcentral.
UCUCCGUUGGUGAACCAGCGGAGGGAUCAUUACCGAGUUUACAACCCCCAAACCCCUAUGUGAACGUUACCAAACUGUUGCCUCGGCGGGAAAUUCAUGCCCCGGGCGCGUCGCAGCCCCGGACCAAGGCGCCCGCCGGAGGACCAACCAAAACUCUUUUGUAUGUCCCUCGCGGACUUUUAUAAUCCUGAACCAUCUCGGCGCCCCUAGCGGGCGUUUCGAAAAUGAAUCAAAACUUUCAACAACGGACCUCUUGGUUCUGGCAUCGAUGAAAACGCAGC